GGUACCUGGAGGAGUGGGGAGGAGCCUGUGGGAUAACAGGCGGAGAGAGACUCACAGGGUGCCUUUCAAGUGGAAGUCAGGGAAGAUCAUGUAAACCUCAAGAAAGCUAUGGUGGAAAUAGCAAGAGAACUGGAAUUAGAAGUGAAGCCUGAAGAUGUGACUAAAUUGUUGCUGCAAUCUCAUGAUAAAACUUGAAUGGAGGCCGGGUGCGGUGGCUCACGCCUGUAAUCCCAGCACUUUGGGAGCCCCAGGUGGGUGGAUCACCUGAGGUCAGGAGUUCGAGACCGGCCUGGCCAAUGUGGCAAAACCCCUUCUCUACUAAAAGUACAAAAAUUAGCCAGACGUGGUGGCAUGCGCCUAUAAUCCCAGCUACUCGGGAGGCUGAGGCAGGAGAAUUGCUGGAACCUGGGAGGCAGAGGUUGCAGUGAGCUGAGAUCGUGCCACUGCACUCCAGCCUAGGCAACAGAGCGAGAUUCCAGCUCAAAAAAGAAAAGAAAAAAAGCCAAACUUGAAUGGAUUGAAUGGAUGAGGAGUUGCUUCUUAUGAAUGAGCAAAGCAAGUGAUUUCUUCAUAUGGAAUCUGUUCCUGGUGAAGAUGCUGUGAUCAUUAUUAAAAGACAACAAAGGAUUUAGAAUAUUACAUAAACUUAGUUGAUAAAGCAAUGGCAGAGUUUGAGAAGAUUGACUCCAAUUUUGAAAAAAGGUCUACUGUGGCAAGAUGUUAUCAAACAGCAUCAUAUGCCAUGGAAAAAAUCUUUGUGAAAGAGUCAAUCAGUGUAUCAAACUUCAUUGCUAUCUUAUUUUAGAAAAUUGCCACAGCCACCCUAACCUUCAGUAACUACCAUCCUGAUCGAUCAGCAGCUGUUAAAUUGAGGUUUCAUUUAAAUAUGACACCAUGGUUUGGAGUCCUAAGCCAUAAACAAUAAGCCAGAAUGAUUCUGCAGCUUUCAAAAGAAGAAAAGUCUGCAAACUUUGCAUGGAAACACACCACACAGCAUUUCUGAUGUCUUUACUGUCCCCUGGUCAUUGUCUUGUGCCCAUUGGAGGAGGCAUGUUUUAGGGUAUCAGUAGUGGAAGCAGGUGCAGCAGAAGUACAUCAGAGCCAGAUUAGGAAGUGAGGACAGAGUCAAGGGGCAAAGCCAACUUGUCGCAUGUCAGAACAGAAGAUGCCAAGAACUGAGAAGGGUGGAUUAUAGAUUUGGAGGCAUGGAAUGGGAGAACUAAUAUUAUAGGAUAAAACUGGAUGGCAAAGGCUGAAGACUUGGGGGUGUCAGGAAUAUUUCUGAAUUUAAAUGAUGGGUUCUGAACUAAUAAUUGUGGUUCAGACCCCAUUCACCAGAUUUGAAUGCAUCUCAGGAAGUAGGAGACUGGGGAGAAGAACUUUUAAAGAGCCACAUGCCUGCCUUUCUGCUCGGGUUCUGAGAUUCUUGAGGCAUUAUUGUCUCUGAAGGAAAUAAACAAUUGUUACCUUGUAAA
Homo sapiens (human) is the source of this 1475-nucleotide long non-coding RNA. RefSeq lists it as uncharacterized. NCBI's taxonomy places the organism in Eukaryota, Metazoa, Chordata, Mammalia, Primates, Hominidae. The transcript is spliced from 3 exons. The record is from RefSeq and is a predicted model, not a curated record.